GCGCGCGGGGCGACCGUGAGGGGAGGAGGGGGCGAGGCCUCCCCGCUCCCAUUCCAGCUCCCACUCCCGGCCCUUUCCCGCCUGCCUCCGCCCGGCCGCGGGGCAGCGCCGACAGCCGUCCUCCGCGCGGCGCUGGAGGCCGUGGGCGAUGCCAGAGCAGAGCUUUGUAUUCCUGAGGGACAGCACCCAUCCCCACACACACACACACACACACACAGAGACAGGAGUUUUGGGGCGGCCGCUCAGUGUCGCGGCGGGUGACCCGGCUCGUGAGGCGAAGCCUCGCACGGAGAUUGAAGGGCUGAGUGGUCCUUGUGGAAAUCCACCCUUCGCAUUUCACCCUGUUUCAUCAGCAUUCCCCCGCCAGCCCCUGGCUGUGCGAGGUUAGUCCUCGCUCGUCUCUGUACAACCGAGUCCCUGGUGUUCUGCGCAAUACAAAUCAUAAGGGUGCAGAUUUAAAAAAUAUUCAGAGUUUUAUAUUCAAGAUUUAUAGUUGUUAGCUCUAAAAAUUAUGAGUAAAAAACCCACCCCAGCAACGGUUGUUUGGAGCAAAAUUAAUUUUAAAGCAGGCAGGAAGCCUCUCUAGGUCUGCAAAGGCAGGACAGACACACCUGUGAGCUCGGCGUGCAGAGGGCACAAACUGCUAUGCUAAUGGCAAACAGAGUUAGCUUAGGUUUCAAGGUUUACUGACUCGAGUGUUGACUCUAUUCGGGAAGAAAACAGAAAAAAUACACUGUUACCUCAUAGCCGGCUGACAAAUACGUCUGCCUUACAAGCAAGCAAACAUUUGGAAGACCAGAGUGACUAUGUCUGUAGGGAUAACAUAACCAGGGUGAGAAAAGCUUUCUGAAAACAGCUGCUGAUAAUGGAAGCUAUUCCGAAGUGUUAAGAAAAGAAAGUUGCAAAAGAUGGAUUCCUUGUGAUUCAGACAUACUGAAGAAACACUGAGGACUCUCUAUCCCCUCUAAAAAGCAGCUCAGUGCAAAAUUAACCCCUGGAGCAUGGCCUGGUUCGUCUUCAGCUCCAGAGCAAGCAGAGGUAACCAGCCAAGAGCAACCACCCCAGAGCUGAGGGGAGUAAAAGGCAUUGCAGCAAAGCCUGGCAAAUGCAGCUUCGGCUGGAAUGGCUGGGUGAUCAAUGGCAGCGCGGCUCCAGCGCACCUCUGUGUUGCGCUGAUGGGAGGGACUUUCUGCUGGCAGAAAAUACAUUGUGUUUUAAACUGUGUCAGAGCUUGAGUCCCACACUGCAGCAGCUAAAUGCAGCUCUGAAAAACAUUUUGUUACAGCUCUUUACUGUUACUUCUGGAAUAAGGGUUAUAAUGUAUCUGCAGUGCUGAGUUCUUAUCAGCACAACUGGAAUGGGAAAAAAAGUGCGGUUUAAUUGCAACCAAUGAAGUUCCAGCAGCUCUAAGUCAUUACUGACUUCACUAAGACUACCCCAAAAUCACUUUAAGGCCCUGUCUGUUCUUAGGCUGCACUAGAUCCCUCUGUGCACCCCCGCUCUGAAAGCCUCCUCAGGAACUGUGCAGAUUUGGGUGCUCCUGCAUGUACAAGGACCUGAAGCCUUUUCAAGGCAAGAGAAGGUGACCAAAAAUAGCAAAUUUAAUUGCUUCAGCAUUACCUAAGUUAAUGUCUUGCUAUUUAAGAAUGAUGUGUUAAGGAUGAAGGAAACAUACUUUGUCAAAGCAAGGAAAGCUCAAGAUCUGGCUGUGAUAGUGUGGUAAAGAAACUUCAUUUAAGACCAGCAUCAGCCCCACUUCUGCCUGAUUAACUGUUGGGGGGAGGUUUUUUAUUUUCUGUUGGGAAAAUUCUGUGAGCAAUAAGCGGGAAUAACUGUUAAUUCUUAUCUGCUUCUUCUGGGAAGUGGAUGAUUUCGUUCCAGCACAGACAUGACUAAUACCAAGCUCCUUCCAGCUGCUGGGGGACAGGCUGUUUGUGGCAGGGUGGUUUGUGUGCCUCAGCCUUUCAGUGUCCCAGGGUCUUCAGACAAGUUAAACGAACCCGUGCUGUCUCAGGAGCCCAAUGCACAAGGGAGCUGGAUAGAAGUCCUCAGCAAGAUUGCAGCUGUCUGGUAACCAUUUUAAGCUCAUUUCAUACAAGCUUGGGGAAAAUAACAUAUUACUACCAUUGAAUAUUUCAGAGAGCUCAUUACACAAUUGAGACUCAGUUUCACUGAGCAACAGCAGAAACUGAGACAGAAGCAGAAUAGUUUUAUAAGUUUAUUGUAAAGACCUUCACAAUCUCAGUACAGAGAUAAGGUAUAAAAUGAUGUUUGGAAUAAUUAAGGCUGGUUGGUGGUCAUCCAAAUUUCACUGUUCAAUGGAACUCAAGCAAGAGCAACUGAUUUCUGACUGUACAUAUUUUUAUUUGUGUUCCACCGUUACAGUGAGAUCACAAGUUAUUUCAAAGACUCAAUGCCUGUUUAUUAUAAAAUAAAGGACAUUAUUUACAUGAUG
Long non-coding RNA from Oenanthe melanoleuca, 2455 nucleotides. RefSeq lists it as uncharacterized. The record is from RefSeq and is a predicted model, not a curated record. The transcript has 3 exons. Lineage: Eukaryota; Metazoa; Chordata; Aves; Passeriformes; Muscicapidae.